ACGCUGGCGGCGUGCCUAAUACAUGCAAGUAGAACGCUGAAGGAGGAGCUUGCUCUUCUGGAUGAGUUGCGAACGGGUGAGUAACGCGUAGGUAACCUGCCUGGUAGCGGGGGAUAACUAUUGGAAACGAUAGCUAAUACCGCAUAACAGUAGAUGUUGCAUGACAUUUGCUUAAAAGGUGCAAUUGCAUCACUACCAGAUGGACCUGCGUUGUAUUAGCUAGUUGGUGGGGUAACGGCUCACCAAGGCGACGAUACAUAGCCGACCUGAGAGGGUGAUCGGCCACACUGGGACUGAGACACGGCCCAGACUCCUACGGGAGGCAGCAGUAGGGAAUCUUCGGCAAUGGACGGAAGUCUGACCGAGCAACGCCGCGUGAGUGAAGAAGGUUUUCGGAUCGUAAAGCUCUGUUGUAAGAGAAGAACGAGUGUGAGAGUGGAAAGUUCACGCUGUGACGGUAUCUUACCAGAAAGGGACGGCUAACUACGUGCCAGCAGCCGCGGUAAUACGUAGGUCCCGAGCGUUGUCCGGAUUUAUUGGGCGUAAAGCGAGCGCAGGCGGUUAGAUAAGUCUGAAGUUAAAGGCUGUGGCUUAACCAUAGUACGCUUUGGAAACUGUUUAACUUGAGUGCAAGAGGGGAGAGUGGAAUUCCAUGUGUAGCGGUGAAAUGCGUAGAUAUAUGGAGGAACACCGGUGGCGAAAGCGGCUCUCUGGCUUGUAACUGACGCUGAGGCUCGAAAGCCUGGGGAGCAAACAGGAUUAGAUACCCUGGUAGUCCACGCCGUAAACGAUGAGUGCUAGGUGUUAGACCCUUUCCGGGGUUUAGUGCCGCAGCUAACGCAUUAAGCACUCCGCCUGGGGAGUACGACCGCAAGGUUGAAACUCAAAGGAAUUGACGGGGGCCCGCACAAGCGGUGGAGCAUGUGGUUU
This 930-nucleotide ribosomal RNA is filed under the name uncultured bacterium. RNAcentral describes it as "bacterial SSU rRNA". It matches the Rfam family "Bacterial small subunit ribosomal RNA", at positions 33 to 947 of the family's 1533-position model. The record is from RNAcentral.